CCUACGGGUGGCAGCAGUAGGGAAUAUUGCUCAAUGGGGGAAACCCUGAAGCAGCAACGUCGCGUGGAGGAUGAAGGUUUUCCGAUUGUUAACUCCUUUUGUUCGAGAAGCUAGUGACGCCAUCUAACGAACAAGCACAGGCUAUCUCCGUGCCAGCAGCCGCGGUACUACGGAGGGUGCAAGCGUUACUCGGAAUCACUGGGCGUAAAGGGCGCGUAGGGGGGAUAGCAAGUCAGAUGUGAAAUCCUAGGGGUUAACCAUAGAAUUGCAUUUGAAACUGUUCUUCUAGAGUAUGGGAGAGGUAGGGGGAAUGCUUGGUGUAGGGGUAAAAUCCGUAGAGAUCAAGAGGAAUACUCAUUGCGAAGGCGACCUGCUAGAACAUAACUGACGCUGAUGCGCGAAAGCGUGGGGAGCGAACAGGAUUAGAUACCCCUGUAGUC
Molecule: ribosomal RNA, 440 nt
Filed under: uncultured bacterium
Lineage: Bacteria
Description: partial 16S ribosomal RNA
Rfam family: Bacterial small subunit ribosomal RNA
Source: RNAcentral